UGUAGUUCUCGGGGCGGGGUGAAAUUCCCCACCGGCGGUGAUUGUUGUAGCUGAAGUUCAGUGGCAACACAGCCCGCGAGCGCCUGCCCAACUGGGCAGGGACAAGCAGAUCCGGUGUGAUUCCGGAGCCGACGGUCAUAGUCCGGAUACGAGAGAACCGGU
Molecule: non-coding RNA, 162 nt
Filed under: Gordonia effusa
Lineage: Bacteria; Bacillati; Actinomycetota; Actinomycetes; Mycobacteriales; Gordoniaceae
Also listed under: 1 other name
Description: FMN sequence
Rfam family: FMN riboswitch aptamer (RFN element)
About the family: The RFN element is a highly conserved domain that is found frequently in the 5'-untranslated regions of prokaryotic mRNAs that encode for flavin mononucleotide (FMN) biosynthesis and transport proteins.
Source: RNAcentral